This 274-nucleotide unclassified non-coding RNA is filed under the name Melitaea cinxia (Glanville fritillary). RNAcentral describes it as "misc RNA ENSMCXG00005019576.1". The record is from RNAcentral. Lineage: Eukaryota; Metazoa; Arthropoda; Insecta; Lepidoptera; Nymphalidae.
AAUUUUGUAUGAAAGUUCUAUAUUUUUGAAGUAAGAGACUUGAAAUUUAAAAUGUAUGCUCUAUAGAUGAUGAGAAGGUGUCCAAAUAAUGUAUUUUUAGAAAUCAACUCCCUUUUGGGGUUAAAAUGGGGGAUGGUAGGUUUACUCACUCAUCACGAAAUCUCCGAAUCUAUAACACCUACAAACUUGAAACUUGGCAGAUAGGCACUUUAUAGGGCGAAGACAUUCGCUAAGAACAGGUUUUACAAAACUGGACCCCUAAGGGGGUAAAACG